AUGACUACCUAAACCAUAAUUGGAAGGACUAUCCAUAUGCGGAUAUUGAGAAAGCACACCACCUCCACCAUUUAAUGUGGAUGUUUAAGAUCCUUUGACCUAUGAAUUAUUAGAGGCAAAGGCAUAUUUGUGCAGACCCUCUUGGAGGUUCGAAUGAACUGUUAAGGUCUGACCAUGCACUAUUUUCGGUAGCAAUGUCAGCAUAUGGUCCUUUUGCAGAGUGAGAUUUAGAAGAUAUACUAAACUGUGCAGAUUUUGAUCUUUUCAGAUAUGCAUGCUGCUUAGCACUAUUCUGACUACCUGUAAAAAUGUAAGAAUAUUAUUUGGUGACAAACAUCGUAUAAGAUUAUUAUUUGGUGACAAGCAUCGUGUCCAGUCUGAGAGAGAUCUAUAUCUAACAUACCAUUAAAAAGACUCAUGCUAGAUAAAGCAGCAAGCAGAUCCACAAACUCUGUGGUGUGAGGGACACCUCUUACACUUUAGAGCCUUACAUGAGAUUCCAACAGUCAAAAAACAAUCCUUUGAAUGCAGUUGCACAAGAAUUUAGUUUGUUAGACAUACAAUUGACUAAAAUUUAAGUUCCAAUAGUCAUUGUUCAAAAAAAACUCUUUAAACUAUCAAUAAAUUAAGUUGCUUCUAAAAGAGAUUCAGGUGGAAACCAAAUCCUUUGCUUAAAUCUUUACAUAUAUGAUUUCUGAAAGACUCCAGCAUCAAGCUUGCAGUUUUAUUUUGGAGAAAGAAGUUCUUGAAUCCACAUUGAACUAAUUUUUUUUCAAGUCACACGGGAAGAUGCAAAACAGUAACUGCAAGCCACAGUUUCAAAUGAAAUAUUCUAUCUAUAAAUUUAUGUUUUGUAAAAAAACAUUAGCAUGGAGGAGGCAAGGCAAAAAACAAAAGUUAGAACAUUACUCACCUUUGCAGCCUCCUAUAUGCAGAAUUUGAAGUUUGUAAGCUAAAAAAUUGGUGCAUUCUGCCAUUUUUAUUUCCACAACGUCAAAUCUAGAGAUACUGUAGCAAAGUGACAGGACAAUAUUGUUACCAAAUGAAGUAUCACACGCAUACAUCAAAUGUAGCUUAACACAUUUCAAUACUAAAAUGUAUAUGCAUGAAUCAGUUAUGGAAAAUUCUUCAAAACAAACCUCAAAUGAUUGAGAUGAAUAGCUACUGCACACAUUAUUCAUCUACCUGAAUUACACGACAGCCAUAUAGAUGGGUGGAGAGAUUUACAACUUGAUUAAAAAAGUAGAGACAAUAAAUUGUAUGUGUUCUUCUAGUACACAUUUUAUACACUUAUGGAUGACAUGAUUCCCAUUCUGAUCUCGUACACAGCGCAUGACAUGACCAUCUCCUCAACCAUUUUAAUCUACUGGUCCACAUCGACUACUUCUAUCGCCUGCAAGUGAACCAAAAUUUUAUUUUAGCAAAGGUUUGAACUCACAAAGGUCAGAUACCUGGAAAGCAGCCCUAUAAUCAGCCAACUUGUACCUAAGAAGCCAUAUAUCACACAUCAGUCACUGGCAGAGAAAAUAUAAUCUCCAGUAACUAUAUAACAUUGUUGCUUAGAUUGUUAAACUUCUUUUGAACAUUCGAGAGUCCAAUCCAGGUAGAGCCAUUGCAGACGCAUCAGCAGCAUUUUCAAACAAAGGAGGCAGAUUAUAGUUGCCAUGGUGGCCUGUUAAUGGAUUGACGGAAUGACUACCUAAACCAUAAUUGGAAGGACUAUCCAUAUGCGGAUAUUGAGAAAGCACACCACCUCCACCAUUUAAUGUGGAUGUUUAAGAUCCUUUGACCUAUGAAUUAUUAGAGGCAAAGGCAUAUUUGUGCAGACCCUCUUGGAGGUUCGAAUGAACUGUUAAGGUCUGACCAUGCACUAUUUUCGGUAGCAAUGUCAGCAUAUGGUCCUUUUGCAGAGUGAGAUUUAGAAGAUAUACUAAACUGUGCAGAUUUUGAUCUUUUCAGAUAUGCAUGCUGCUUAGCACUAUUCUG
Molecule: long non-coding RNA, 1986 nt
Filed under: Capsicum annuum
Lineage: Eukaryota; Viridiplantae; Streptophyta; Magnoliopsida; Solanales; Solanaceae
Description: long non-coding RNA (CANN_LNC014045)
Source: RNAcentral